This 253-nucleotide ribosomal RNA is filed under the name uncultured bacterium. Its description in RNAcentral is "partial 16S ribosomal RNA". It matches the Rfam family "Bacterial small subunit ribosomal RNA", at positions 524 to 776 of the family's 1533-position model. The record is from RNAcentral.
UACAGAGGUCUCAAGCGUUGUUCGGAUUCAUUGGGCGUAAAGGGUGCGUAGGCGGCGCGGUAAGUCGGGUGUGAAAUCUUGGAGCUUAACUCCGAAACUGCAUUCGAUACUGCCGUGCUUGAGGACUGGAGAGGAGACUGGAAUUUACGGUGUAGCGGUGAAAUGCGUAGAUAUCAGGAAGAACACCCGUGGCGAAGGCGGCUCUCUGGGACGGUACUGACGCUGAGACGCGAAAGCGUGGGGAGCGAACAGG